Molecule: ribosomal RNA, 515 nt
Filed under: uncultured bacterium
Lineage: Bacteria
Description: bacterial SSU rRNA
Rfam family: Bacterial small subunit ribosomal RNA
Source: RNAcentral
GAUGAACGCUAGCGAUAGGCCUAACACAUGCAAGUCGAGGGGCAUCACAUGAAGUAGCAAUACGGAUGGUGGCGACCGGCGCACGGGUGAGUAACACGUAUGCAACCUGCCUUCAACAAGGGGAUAACCCGUUGAAAGACGGACUAAUACCCUAUAACACAGGGGUCCCGCAUGGGAAUAUUUGUUAAAGGACAACCGGUUGAAGAUGGGCAUGCGUUCCAUUAGCUAGUUGGCGGGGUAACGGCCCACCAAGGCAACGAUGGAUAGGGGAACUGAGAGGUUUAUCCCCCACACUGGUACUGAGACACGGACCGAGACUCCUACGGGAGGCAGCAGUGAGGAAUAUUGGUCAAUGGACGCAAGUCUGAACCAGCCACGUCGCGUGAAGGAAGACGGCCCUACGGGUUGUAAACUUCUUUUAUACGGGAAUAAAUGCCCACCGGUGGGGUUUUGCAUGUACCGUAUGAAUAAGGAUCGCUAACUCCGUGCCAGCAGCCGCGGUAAGUACUGACUCA